RNAcentral lists this ribosomal RNA (292 nucleotides) under uncultured bacterium. RNAcentral's name for it is "partial 16S ribosomal RNA". It matches the Rfam family "Bacterial small subunit ribosomal RNA", at positions 505 to 796 of the family's 1533-position model. The record is from RNAcentral.
GUGCCAGCCGCCGCGGUAAUACAGAGGUCCCAAGCGUUGUUCGGAUUUACUGGGCGUAAAGGGUGCGUAGGUGGCGAGGUAAGUUCGAUGUGAAAUCUCCGAGCUCAACUCGGAAAUGGCAUUGAAUACUAUCCCGCUUGAGGGUCGGAGGGGAGACUGGAAUUCUCGGUGUAGCAGUGAAAUGCGUAGAUAUCGAGAGGAACACCAGUGGCGAAGGCGAGUCUCUGGACGACUCCUGACACUGAGGCACGAAAGCUGGGGGAGCAAACAGGAUUAGAUACCCGCGUAGUCC